AGAGUUUGAUCAUGGCUCAGAUUGAACGCUGGCGGCAGGCCUAACACAUGCAAGUCGAGCGGUAGCACAGGAGAGCUUGCUCUCUGGGUGACGAGCGGCGGACGGGUGAGUAAUGUCUGGGAAACUGCCUGAUGGAGGGGGAUAGCUACUGGAAACGGUAGCUAAUACCGCAUAACGUCUUCGGACCAAAGUGGGGGACCUUCGGGCCUCACGCCAUCAGAUGUGCCCAGAUGGGAUUAGCUAGUAGGUGGGGUAAUGGCUCACCUAGGCGACGAUCCCUAGCUGGUCUGAGAGGAUGACCAGCCACACUGGAACUGAGACACGGUCCAGACUCCUACGGGAGGCAGCAGUGGGGAAUAUUGCACAAUGGGCGCAAGCCUGAUGCAGCCAUGCCGCGUGUGUGAAGAAGGCCUUCGGGUUGUAAAGCACUUUCAGCGAGGAGGAAGGGUAGUGUGUUAAUAGCACAUUGCAUUGACGUUACUCGCAGAAGAAGCACCGGCUAACUCCGUGCCAGCAGCCGCGGUAAUACGGAGGGUGCAAGCGUUAAUCGGAAUUACUGGGCGUAAAGCGCACGCAGGCGGUUUGUUAAGUCAGAUGUGAAAUCCCCGCGCUUAACGUGGGAACUGCAUUUGAAACUGGCAAGCUAGAGUCUUGUAGAGGGGGGUAGAAUUCCAGGUGUAGCGGUGAAAUGCGUAGAGAUCUGGAGGAAUACCGGUGGCGAAGGCGGCCCCCUGGACAAAGACUGACGCUCAGGUGCGAAAGCGUGGGGAGCAAACAGGAUUAGAUACCCCGGUAGUCCAA
Molecule: ribosomal RNA, 801 nt
Filed under: uncultured bacterium
Lineage: Bacteria
Description: bacterial SSU rRNA
Rfam family: Bacterial small subunit ribosomal RNA
Source: RNAcentral